This 2138-nucleotide unclassified non-coding RNA is filed under the name Leishmania donovani. Its description in RNAcentral is "gene:LdHU3.06.1130(CDS-product:cell_cycle_associa ted_protein_MOB1_putative)". The record is from RNAcentral. Lineage: Eukaryota; Euglenozoa; Kinetoplastea; Trypanosomatida; Trypanosomatidae.
AACGUUAUCAGCCCGCGCCACCCCCACCCGCCCCUCUGCGCCUUCGCAGCGCCGUGCCCCGCUCGCUUUCAGUCUUCCUCCUCCUCUAGGCAAGAACGAUCGAGGGGGGGGGCUGAGGAGAGAACAGCACAAGACGCGCAUCCGACCUCAGCCUUUGCAUGCGCCGGGGAGUGAGGCGUCGACACAUCCGGCAGCCGCACCCGCCCCAAUCGCUAGCGCGGCCAUGAAGCUCUUCGGCAGCUCCCUCUUCGACUCGGACAAGACGUACCGGCCGAAGAAGAAGCACAAGGAGGGAACGGAGCGGUACCGCCUGCACAACUUUGCACGCUCGCUCGUCAAGUCUGGCGACCUGCGGCAGGCGGUGCAGCUGCCCCCCGGCGUCGACAUCAACAACUGGCUUUCGGUGCACACCGUUGAUUUUUACAACAUCACCAACGUCAUAUACGGCUCGCUGACGGACUACUGCAGCGACAUGAGCUGCCCCGUGAUGUCCUCCGGGCCGCGGUACGAGUACCUGUGGCGCAACCCACCCGAGUACCCCAAGGCGACGCGGGUGUCGGCGCCACAGUACCUCGACCUACUCAUGAAGUGGAUCGAGCGGCAGAUUAACGACGAGCGCAUUUUCCCGUCGGAGGACUACAACCCGUACCCAGCCGACUUCAAGAGCUACGUAAAGAACAUAUUCCGCCGCAUGUUCCGCGUCUACGCACACAUAUACUACUCGCACUUCACGAAGAUCGCGGAGCUUCAGGAGGAGGCGCACAUGAACACCGCUUUCAAGCAUUUUAUGUACUUCGCGUGGGAGUUCGACCUCAUCCCACGUGAGGAGCUGACGCCGCUGCAGGAGUUGCUGAAGAACCUCAUGGGCGACUACGCGAAGGAGCGGCUAGAGUGAGCAUCGAACUUCGAACGCAUAUUGGGGACAAUUAGAACCUUCCUGGCCUCCACCCUUCCCCUCUCGCUCGCUCACGGUAGGGGGGGGGCUGACCUCUUAUCGAGUGCACGACGUGCAGAGAGGUGGCGGUGGCCGUCUCCGGUUUCGGUGUUGGCAUGUCAUGCCGUACCCGUAUUCUCUCGCCUCCUCUGCACUCGUUCGGCUCUGUCUCUCUGGCAGCCGCGGCGAGCGGGGAGAGAGCGAGGAUGGUGGUGGUGGGCGGCGAGCGCAGCAAGACUUCGUGGCGCGUGCGUCUGCGCCUGUCGUUGAAAACCGUGCCGGCAGACUGGCAUGCACGUUUUCUCUCACGUCUUCCUACCCAAGUCGUCUUUGUUCCGCUUCGCCAACGCCUCCGCUUAUGCAGACACCGGACCUGUGGCCGACGCUUGCCACUCACCCUCUCUGAUUCUCCCGUCGUAUGUAGGCCUGCUGAUAAAGCGUGCGCCGCCACGUUUUCGUGCCUUUGCCUGCAUCCGCAGCACACGCACACACACGGCCGCGCUGCCCGGCCACCGUCCAUCGUCAUCAGUGGCAAUUUUAAAAGGUGUGAGUCGGCAGAUAGGGAAUCGAAAAAAAAAAAGGACGGCACGUGGGUGGUGAUGGUGGUGUUGGGGAGAGGCGAGCACCCGGCACACAAGCACACGCGUAUGGUGCCACUCUUUCACGUGGGCAGCAUUUUCGUGUCUGUUGGCGCCGACGCGGCCAUCGAUGCUUUCUCUUCCUGCGCGUGUGCGGCUCUUUGAUGCUUGCUUCAUAUCCUCGCUAGCGUGCGUUGUCGAGGACGAAGAGAGGGAUGGAGGGGGGAGAGUGGGGGGGGGGCGGACGUCGAGGACGUGCGCGUCGCAGUGUAGCACGACAUGUGCUUGCGCACCGGCGUUACGGCCAGCCUAUGGCGACACUUGCACGCGCGGCCCCGCUUCACUGCCGCGGUAAUGCAGACGCGAUUCGCCUUGUUGUGUGUUUCUCGUAGACAUCCGAAAACUUUGAUGGCCCCCAUUCGCAUCCCCACCUCUUCUUGCACAGACCUCACUCGGUGCGCAGCCGCCGGUAAACGUCCGCUCCUGUCUCCCCCCCCCCCCCACCCAACCCCAACCCCAACCCCGACCCCAUUCUUUCUCAUGCCCGCCACUCAGCCCUCCACCUCCUCCUCGCCUUUUUUACCGACAUCACCGCAUCACCUUCGCACACGCCUUCAUCACUGCAG